Molecule: long non-coding RNA, 767 nt
Organism: Culex quinquefasciatus (southern house mosquito)
Lineage: Eukaryota; Metazoa; Arthropoda; Insecta; Diptera; Culicidae
Exons: 2
Source: RefSeq, a predicted model, not a curated record
AUUUUUCGACCAAGUUAAAUGGUAAAAUAGUUUAGAUUGAUUGUUCAUGGUAGUACGAACAAUAAAAACAAAUACUAAUUGCCGGAAAGCCCCGAAAAUGUGAUUUUCCGACUUUUGAUUUUCGAUGCACGAGCAUCGUAAGAUGACCGACAUCGAAAGCAUAGUCACUACCAUGCUUUGCUAAAAUGUCAGUGCAUCGUAGUUCGAUGCCUGUCCUGUCAGCCAUAUUGCUGCCGCGACACCAUGGACACAAACCAACCCUGUUAGACUGAAGUCCCGCGGUCGUGCGAUUUGAAGCGUUAUCUGCUCGAAGUCGAUUGAGUCCUGCCAUUUUCGAGCGUUUGUCGUGCGUUUUGAUGGUUUUGAUCGAAUGUCAGAGAAGCGACAUCUAGUGCGUGCAAAAUUCUCAGCAGGCAUUGAAAAAAAAAAUAUGAUAGAUACGGUUUCCAAGUUUCUCAAUCCAGUGAAAAAAAAGUUAAUAAUCAAAAAAAAGUUAAUUAUUGUGAAAAUUAUGUUCCAGAUUCAGGAGCAUGGCGGGCUUUACCAGACAUACAAAUGAAAGAGAUAGAGAUGAAACAUGCUGGCUUCGGCACAUGGGACAAUGGCAAUGGCAACAAUGGCCGCUAAGAACAAACCAAAGAUGAGUUCCGAAUUCAGCAAGAACACCAAGAAACUCAAAAACCACCCUUGCAAAAGUGUGAAAUACAAUUGUUUGUACCUAUUACACUCACCCCGUUUGACAAGAAUAAUAAAAAGUACAAGUUUGC